UUGCUGUAGUAUUUUGACUAUACAAAGGUAUUGUAAUAAGACUUUAAUUGAGUGCUAAAAGAAUGGAAUUACAAAAAAUUUCUUUCUUAAAUUUAAAAAUUGAAGUUAAUUUUUUUGUGAAGAAUCAAUAAUAUUAUUUAGGGACAAGAAGACCCUAAGAAUUUUUAAAUCUUUUAAUUAAAGCUUUAAUUAAAAGAUUUUUGAUUGGGGCGAUUGAUAAAUAUUACAAACUUUAUUUUUCUAAAAUAUGAACCAUUAUUAAUGGUAAUAUGAAAAAAAUACUCUAGGGAUAACAGCGUAAUAAUUUUUGAUAGUUCUUAUAGACAAAAUAGUUUGCGACCUCGAUGUUGGAUUAGGAUUCUUUUUUAAUGAAGAAGUUAAAAUAAGAAGUUUGUUCAACUUUUAAAGUCC
RNAcentral lists this ribosomal RNA (411 nucleotides) under Amblyomma scalpturatum. RNAcentral describes it as "partial 16S ribosomal RNA". Lineage: Eukaryota; Metazoa; Arthropoda; Arachnida; Ixodida; Ixodidae. The record is from RNAcentral.